RNAcentral lists this long non-coding RNA (646 nucleotides) under Brassica napus (rape). RNAcentral's name for it is "long non-coding RNA (BNAP_LNC026472)". The record is from RNAcentral. Lineage: Eukaryota; Viridiplantae; Streptophyta; Magnoliopsida; Brassicales; Brassicaceae.
GAUCUUUAAACUACAAACUGAAAGGCAAUAUCUCAGCCUACAACCAACCCUGAACCCAAAUUAUCUCAGCCACAUAACCAUGAGGGAUCCAAAGUGCUUCCUGGUUCUCCUUGCGGAGAUGAUGUUGCGAAUCUCCCUGUCGAUUCCAUGGAAAAGCGCAGCAGUCGUGAGUGAAGUCUGGUUAUGGAUGAGGUUAUUACGCUGCUUCCAUAGGUGAUAAACGACAGCCUGAACUGCUAUCUUCCUGAGAAUAGAUAGCUUCUUUGAUGUUGAAGCUCUGAUCCACGACAGGAGCUCCGACCAGUUGGUGAACCUUGUAAGUGACGUCCUGCAUCUGAGUAGGACCUCCCUCCAAAUGUCUUGACUAUACUCGCAAGAGAGUAGUACGUGGUCUCUGGUUUCAUCCCCCCGGGAGCAGAAUGCGCAUAAGGGAGAGACAGGUAGGCCCCAUUCUGCAAGUCUUGCUCUCGUUGGGAGCUUGUCAUAAUUAGCAAUUCACAUGUUGAAGCUGUGCUUCGGUAUUGAUCCCUUGAACCAGACUAUAUCCACCCAGUCUUUGCUAUCUUGUCUCGGUCGUAGCGCUUCUCACGUAGCAGCAGACCUGAAAUCACGAGAAGGAUAAUCACCCACAACCCAUUCAUAUAUA